This 460-nucleotide ribosomal RNA is filed under the name uncultured bacterium. RNAcentral's name for it is "partial 16S ribosomal RNA". It matches the Rfam family "Bacterial small subunit ribosomal RNA", at positions 338 to 795 of the family's 1533-position model. The record is from RNAcentral.
CCUACGGGGGGCAGCAGUGAGGAAUAUUGGUCAAUGGGCGCGAGCCUGAACCAGCCAAGUAGCGUGAAGGAUGACUGCCCUACGGGUUGUAAACCUCUUUUGCCGGGGAGCAACGGGCGCCACGUGUGGCGUCACUGAGAGUACCCGGAGAAAAAGCAUCGGCUAACUCCGUGCCAGCAGCCGCGGUCAGACGGAGGAUGCGAGCGUUAUCCGGAUUUAUUGGGUUUAAAGGGUGCGUAGGCGGAUCGUUAAGUCAGGGGUAAAAUUGAGGGGCUAAACCCCUUCCCGCCAUUGAAACUGGCGUUCUUGAGUGGAAGAGAAGUAUGCGGAAUGCGUGGUGUAGCGGUGAAAUGCAUAGAUAUCACGCAGAACCCCGAUUGCGAAGGCAGCAUGCCGGCUUCCGACUGACGCUGAAGCACGAAAGCGUGGGGAUCGAACAGGAUUAGAUACCCUUGUAGUC